RNAcentral lists this ribosomal RNA (468 nucleotides) under uncultured bacterium. Its description in RNAcentral is "partial 16S ribosomal RNA". It matches the Rfam family "Bacterial small subunit ribosomal RNA", at positions 28 to 507 of the family's 1533-position model. The record is from RNAcentral.
GACGAACGCUGGCGGCGUGCUUAACACAUGCAAGUCGAACGGAAAGGCCCUGCUUUUGUGGGGUGCUCGAGUGGCGAACGGGUGAGUAACACGUGAGUAACCUGCCCUUGACUUUGGGAUAACUUCAUGAAACUUGGGCUAAUACCGGAUAGGAGCUCCUGCUGCAUGGUGGGGGUUGGAAAGUUUCGGCGGUUGGGGAUGGACUCGCGGCUUAUCAGCUUGUUGGUGGGGUAGUGGCUUACCAAGGCUUUGACGGGUAGCCGGCCUGAGAGGCUGACCGGCUACACUGGGACUGAGAUGCGGCACAGACUACUACGGGAGGCAGCAGUGGGGAAUAUUGCACAAUGGGCGGAAGCAUGAUGCAGCAACGCAGCGUGCGGGAUGACGGGCUUCGGGUAGUAAAGCGCUUUCGCCUGUGACGAAGCGUGAGUGACGGUAAUGGGUAAAGAAGCACCGGCUAACUACGUG